GAAUAUUGGUCAAUGGACGCAAGUCUGAACCAGCCAUGCCGCGUGAAGGAUGAAGGCCCUAUGGGUCGUAAACUUCUUUUAUUAGGGAAGAAAAAACGGGAUGCGUCCUGUACUGACGGUACUUAAUGAAUAAGGAUCGGCUAACUUCGUGCCAGCAGCCGCGGUAAGACGAAGGAUCCAAGCGUUGUCCGGAUUUACUGGGUUUAAAGGGUGCGUAGGCGGAAAAUUAAGUCAGUGGUGAAAGCCCGCAGCUCAACUGUGGAACUGCCAUUGAAACUGGUUUUCUUGAAUAUAGCUGAGGCAGAUGGAAUAUAACAUGUAGCGGUGAAAUGCUUAGAUAUGUUAUAGAACACCGAUUGCGAAGGCAGUCUGCUAAACUAUUAUUGACGCUGAGGCACGAAAGCGUGGGGAGCGAACAGGAUUAGAUACCCGGGUAGUC
RNAcentral lists this ribosomal RNA (439 nucleotides) under uncultured bacterium. RNAcentral's name for it is "bacterial SSU rRNA". It matches the Rfam family "Bacterial small subunit ribosomal RNA", at positions 359 to 795 of the family's 1533-position model. The record is from RNAcentral.